CAGGAAAAAUGUCAGCUUUGAUAUCGAAGAGGGAAAUGCCAUUGAUCAGGUCAUUUACUUUGUAGACAACGAUCGUACUCGCCCCUUCACUGCCUACUACAACUAUACAGACUACGAUAACUGCAUGAUCAUAAUUGUUCCCUACAACGGCCACGAUCAUUGUAUGCUGUGGGUGAAACGCGCGAUCGCUCAUUCUGUUCCUCAGCACUGCCUGGAGCGCUACGAAGAGAAUUGUGAUGUCAGAGUGCCAACGUUCGAAAACGACCUCUGCAAGGACGACUAAAUAAAGUCAAG
Dermacentor albipictus is the source of this 294-nucleotide long non-coding RNA. RefSeq lists it as uncharacterized. The record is from RefSeq and is a predicted model, not a curated record. NCBI's taxonomy places the organism in Eukaryota, Metazoa, Arthropoda, Arachnida, Ixodida, Ixodidae.